Salmo salar (Atlantic salmon) is the source of this 367-nucleotide non-coding RNA. The record is from RefSeq and is a predicted model, not a curated record. NCBI's taxonomy places the organism in Eukaryota, Metazoa, Chordata, Actinopteri, Salmoniformes, Salmonidae.
UUCACUACUGUAAGUCGCUCUGGAUAAGAGCGUCUGCUAAAUGACAAAAAAAAAAAAAUGUAAAUGUAUAUAUCGCCACCCUGUGGAGCACUGCUAAUAUUGGGUUGCGACCGACACAACGGGUACCAAUUUGGGUCCGGAGGCAAAACCAGUUGAGAAGCACUGGUAUACAAUAGAGGAAGAAGGAGAAGUGACAAUCAGAAGAGAAGCCGUUCAACCAAACAGUACUGGGAAGAUGGAUUUACAUCAAAUCGUGUUGACGUUUACUUCCACCAAGUUGAAUUAUGACAAGAAUACACAAUGUAUGGACAUGACUAUAUGAUUUGAUGUUUGGUACGGAAAAUGUCAAUAAAAUAUUCAUGACAAA